GGAUUUCCUUAGUAGCGGCGAGCGAACAGGAAAGAGCCCAGCACUGAAUCCCUCGGUCGUAACGGUCGACGGGAGAUGUGGUGUUCGGGAGGUUCAGCACUCUUGCGGUCGCGCAUCCUGUCCAAGUUCGUCUUGAACGGGGCCCAUUUCCCGUAGAGGGUGCCAGGCCCGUAGCGACGGACGCCGGCCGCGAGAUGAAUUCUCCUCAGAGUCGGGUUGCUUGAGAGUGCAGCCCUAAGUGGGUGGUAAACUCCAUCUAAGGCUAAAUAUGACCGCGAGCCCGAUAGCGAACA
This 293-nucleotide ribosomal RNA is filed under the name Sthenopis purpurascens. Its description in RNAcentral is "partial 28S large subunit ribosomal RNA". It matches the Rfam family "Eukaryotic large subunit ribosomal RNA", at positions 72 to 346 of the family's 3401-position model. Lineage: Eukaryota; Metazoa; Arthropoda; Insecta; Lepidoptera; Hepialidae. The record is from RNAcentral.